GAUGAACGCUGGCGGCGUGCCUAAUACAUGCCAGUCGAGCGAACAGACGAUGAGCUUGCUCCUCUGACGUUAGCGGCGGACGGGUGAGUAACACGUGGAUAACCUACCUAUAAGACUGGGAUAACUUCGGGAAACCGGAGCUAAUACCGGAUAAUAUAUUGAACCGCAUGGUUCAAUAGUGAAAGACGGUUUUGCUGUCACUUAUAGAUGGAUCCGCGCCGCAUUAGCUAGUUGGUAAGGUAACGGCUUACCAAGGCAACGAUGCGUAGCCGACCUGAGAGGAUGAUCGGCCACACUGGAACUGAGACACGGUCCAGACUCCUACGGGAGGCAGCAGUAGGGAAUAUUCGGCAAUGGGCGAAAGCUUGACGGAGCAACGCCGCGUGAGUGAUGAAGGUCUUCGGAUCGUAAAACUCUGUUAUUAGGGAAGAACAAAUGUGUAAGUAACUAUGCACGUCUUGACGGUACCUAAUCAGAAAGCCACGGCUAACUACGUG
This 497-nucleotide ribosomal RNA is filed under the name uncultured bacterium. RNAcentral's name for it is "partial 16S ribosomal RNA". It matches the Rfam family "Bacterial small subunit ribosomal RNA", at positions 28 to 507 of the family's 1533-position model. The record is from RNAcentral.